UCAGACGUCUGCUCUUUAGAUCUUAAAAGGGGUAAACAUAUUGAGUACAAUUCUUGUGGUGAUUUAUUAUAAAGUGACCAGGUUGAUCUCUUUUGAUAUGAUUCUUUAUCAGUAAAAACUUCACUGUAACCCUCUAGGCACUGAAAUUUGUACUUUUUUUUGUGGAUGUCGAAUUCAUGUGAUGUAUUGAUCACAAUAAAAUAACAGUGAUGUAAAAUCA
Molecule: long non-coding RNA, 220 nt
Organism: Sebastes umbrosus (honeycomb rockfish)
Lineage: Eukaryota; Metazoa; Chordata; Actinopteri; Perciformes; Sebastidae
Exons: 3
Source: RefSeq, a predicted model, not a curated record